UACGUAGGGGGCAAGCGUUGUCCGGAUUCAUUGGGCGUAAAGAGCGUGUAGGCGGCCAGGUAGGUCGGUUGUGAAAACUGGAGGCUCAACCUUCAGAGGUCGACCGAAACCAUCUGGCUAGAGUCCGGGAGAGGAGAGUGGAAUUCCUGGUGUAGCGGUGAAAUGCGCAGAUAUCAGGAAGAACACCCGUGGCGAAAGCGGCUCUCUGGAACGGUACUGACGCUGAGACGCGAAAGCGUGGGGAUCAAACAGG
RNAcentral lists this ribosomal RNA (253 nucleotides) under uncultured bacterium. Its description in RNAcentral is "partial 16S ribosomal RNA". It matches the Rfam family "Bacterial small subunit ribosomal RNA", at positions 524 to 776 of the family's 1533-position model. The record is from RNAcentral.